RNAcentral lists this ribosomal RNA (253 nucleotides) under uncultured bacterium. RNAcentral describes it as "partial 16S ribosomal RNA". It matches the Rfam family "Bacterial small subunit ribosomal RNA", at positions 524 to 776 of the family's 1533-position model. The record is from RNAcentral.
GACGUAGGGCGCAAGCGUUGUCCGGAUUUAUUGGGCGUAAAGAGCUCGUAGGCGGCUCGUUGCGUCGGCUGUGAAAACCCGCAGCUCAACUGUGGGCUUGCAGCCGAUACGGGCGGACUGGAGUUCGGUAGGGGAGACUGGAAUUCCUGGUGUAGCGGUGAAAUGCGCAGAUAUCAGGAGGAACACCGGUGGCGAAGGCGGGUCUCUGGGCCGAUACUGACGCUGAGGAGCGAAAGCGUGGGGAGCGAACAGG